AGUCUUAUAGUCAAAAAAUGAUUUUAGAUUGCAAAUCUAAAGGUAAAGUUUAUCUUUUAAGGCUU
This 65-nucleotide transfer RNA is filed under the name Protohermes gutianensis. RNAcentral's name for it is "tRNA-Cys". The record is from RNAcentral. Lineage: Eukaryota; Metazoa; Arthropoda; Insecta; Megaloptera; Corydalidae.